GGGGUAUAGCUCAGCUGGGAGAGCGCUUGCUUCGCAUGUAAGAGGUCAGGGGUUCGAAUCCCCUUAUCUCC
RNAcentral lists this transfer RNA (71 nucleotides) under pig gut metagenome. It matches the Rfam family "tRNA". From Rfam's summary of the family: Transfer RNA (tRNA) molecules are approximately 80 nucleotides in length. Their secondary structure includes four short double-helical elements and three loops (D, anti-codon, and T loops). The record is from RNAcentral.